Acanthochromis polyacanthus (spiny chromis) is the source of this 624-nucleotide long non-coding RNA. RefSeq lists it as uncharacterized. The transcript has 3 exons. NCBI's taxonomy places the organism in Eukaryota, Metazoa, Chordata, Actinopteri, Pomacentridae. The record is from RefSeq and is a predicted model, not a curated record.
AUGGUCACAAACCUCAUAGGCCAAACACGUGAGAAAGGAAAAGUACAUGAGCAACUGUUUCCUGUCACAAACCUUAUCUACUUAUCGUGAAGGCACAAUGUAUGAAGCGCUGAGGCUAAUUAAGAUCGUUGUUGGUGUUAUGUCUUUGGUCCUGAGUAUUUUAGCCUGCUGCAGCAAAUGUGCAGAAGAUGAAAGUGAUCAACCUGAGAGAGAAGAUAGAGAGAGAGCAGCAUUACAAAGACAGCAGAUAGUGUAGCGGCUCUUCCUCCGUCUGCUCUGGAUGUGGGAUUCACACAUUUGAGGACCAUCAGCUGGUACCAGUGUUUCCCUUCAAUCAACAGAUGUCGACACAGCAACCAGCACGCCUCUCAGAAUGCCGCCCAAACAGUGGGAUGUAUUUUAUAUGAUAUUAUCUGCAACUUAACACAACAAUCUGUAAACCAACAACAGCAAAAAAUAAAAAUAAAAAACUCUUCUGAAAAUCAGUCAUCAUUUUUCUGUGGUUAAACAGCAUUCAUCUGUAAAAUAAUUACAUAAUUUGAGGAUUCAGAUAGAAUAAAAAUGGUGCUAUUUUACAGUCAAAUGUCAAAGAACAAAUUACCCCUUAUAAAAAUAAAGAUUUUG